CGGCUGUGUAAGUCCCUCGUUAAAUUCAACGUCCCAAGCGUUGGCCUGCGAGGGAUACUGCAUAGCUAGAGGGUGGGAGAGGUCUGCGGUAUUCUGGGGGUAGGGGCGAAAUCCUUUGAUCCCCGGAGGACCACCAGUGGCGAAGGCUGCAGACUAGAACACGCCUGACGGUCAGGGACGAAAGCUGGGGUAGCGAACCGGAUUAGAUACCCGGGUAGUCCCAGCCGUAAACUAUGCAUGCUAGGUGUUGGGUCGGCCACGCGCCGCCCCAGUGCCACAGGGAAGCCGUUAAGCAUGCCGCCUGGGAA
This 308-nucleotide ribosomal RNA is filed under the name uncultured archaeon. RNAcentral's name for it is "bacterial SSU rRNA". It matches the Rfam family "Archaeal small subunit ribosomal RNA", at positions 526 to 834 of the family's 1478-position model. The record is from RNAcentral.